AUUGAACGCUGGCGGCAGGCCUAACACAUGCAAGUCGAGCGGAUGAAGGGAGCUUGCUCCUGGAUUCAGCGGCGGAUGGGUGAGUAAUGCCUAGGAAUCUGCCUGGUAGUGGGGGAUAACGUCCGGAAACGGGCGCUAAUACCGCAUACGUCCCGAGGGAGAAAGUGGGGGAUCUUCGGACCUCACGCUAUCAGAUGAGCCUAGGUCGGAUUAGCUAGUUGGUGGGGUAAAGGCCUACCAAGGCGACGAUCCGUAACUGGUCUGAGAGGAUGAUCAGUCACACUGGAACUGAGACACGGUCCAGACUCCUACGGGAGGCAGCAGUGGGGAAUAUUGGACAAUGGGCGAAAGCCUGAUCCAGCCAUGCCGCGUGUGUGAAGAAGGUCUUCGGAUUGUAAAGCACUUUAAGUUGGGAGGAAGGGCAGUAAGUUAAUACCUUGCUGUUUUGACGUUACCAACAGAAUAAGCACCGGCUAACUUCGUG
Molecule: ribosomal RNA, 484 nt
Filed under: uncultured bacterium
Lineage: Bacteria
Description: partial 16S ribosomal RNA
Rfam family: Bacterial small subunit ribosomal RNA
Source: RNAcentral